UUUGUUAGUGUUCAUAUUUAUUAAAGAAACGUAUUUAUGAAUACUUACCACGCUGCACCUUGGUCCUCUUCUCCUUCUCCAGACGACGUUCGUUACACAUAGACACUACUGAAUGCAAGUGCAACACACAAAAAUAAAAAUGUAAAUGCAAUAACAAGGAGGUGCGUUGCAAAUAGGCUGACACUUUUCGUUAAAUUCCCCUGACGCAAAUAUAGCAACCAUAUUUCGCUAAGUUCCCCUGACGUGAAGAAAGCUACCUUGUUUUUAUAGUUAUUGCCCGUAAUGGGUAUACUGGGGUAAAAUAUAGACUUUUAACAGCUACCACCCGCAUGGGUUUCCUUAGGUAACGUGUCAUCUCUUAAAUUCGUAGGCAUUUUGUUAGUUACCACGCGCUAUGGUUUUCAUUAGGUAAAAUGCAACAUUUAUGAAUAUCAAAUAACCAGGCCUUGAAUCUUUUUUUAAAUCUUUUUUUUCUCCCCAAUUUUGUGGUAUCCAAUUGGUAGUUACAGUCUUGUCUCUGUAAAUGCUUUAGGUCAGAUGAGGGUCUUCUGAGGCUGGUGCCAGUGGUCAAAGCCUCUAGAACAGUUAUAUGAGUGCUUGAAUAACAAUGAUCCAAUAGCUAUUUCCCUGUUGUAUACCGCAUAAUAAAUCUUGUUUCAUUUUCUUUUUUAACUUCCACAAGUUUUCCUCAUUCUUGAGCUCUAGUUCAAGUUAUUGUGAUAUAGUUUCACCGUGUGUAAUUAUUCUUAUUUCAUUCUCAGGCUCAGUCAAUGUAACCUCACAGAAAGAAGCUGUGAAAUGUUGGCCUCAGUUCUCAGUGCAAACUCCUCACACCCGAAGGAGCUGGACAUGAGCGACAACGACCUGCAGAAUUCAGGAGUGAAACUGCUUUCUAUUGGACUAGGGAUUUCACUUCUGUAAACUAGAGACAAUGAAGCUCUUGAGAUGUAACUUCACAGAAAGAUGCUGUGAAGAGCUGGCCUCAUUUCUCAGCUCAAACUCCUCACACCCGAGGCAGCUGGACCCAAGGAACAACGACCUGCAGGAUUCAGGAGGGAAGCUGCUCUCUGCUGAACUCGAGUCCACUCUGUAAACACUGAGCGAAGAUUGUCAUUCUGUAGAGUCGCAGAGGGAGGUUGUGCUUCGCUGGCCUCAGCUCUGAAGUCAAACCCCUCACAUAUGAGAGAGCUGGAUGUGAGCUACAAUAACCCGGGAGACUCUGGAAGGAAGUUGGUCUCUACUAAACUGGAGAAGCUAUUACCUGUGCACACUUUUAAGGGGAGGCUACCUGGUAGUAGUAAAGGGUUUUCAAGUAACCUUUAAGAAGCUACUGCCCAUAAACUGCAGUGUUGUUCCAAUUGUAUUGAGCACCUAUAUUUGCCAUAAGUCUUUGAUAUUUGUAUAUGGUGAUUAAGUUCCUCAUUUAUUAAUAAUAUAUUUAUUGGUCAUUACAGUAAUGAAAGUGACUAACAACAUCAUGAUGUGAAGGGAACUUUACAUAAAGCCUACAGGUAUAAUUCAUUAUGAUGCGGUUUUGUCAUAAGCAUGUAUGACCCCAUAUAAUGCUUAUAACCAUCUCAUAAUGAUUCUGACUAAAUACCAGACAUUUUGAGUCAAUGACUCAGCGAUUUUCGACACAGACAUAACUUAUUAUAAGCAUUUCAAUAAGACAUUAUGAAGGCUUUUAGAAGCUUAUAACAAGUAAUAAAGUACUAUACCUGGAGACUUUAAGUGUUACUGAUGCCUUUGAGGUCACACAGGGCCAAAACACAGCCAUAUUGUGAUCACUCGAAGAUAUUUAAGCACAGGCGCCUGCUGAGGGGAGGACGGCUCACAAUGGCUGGAACGGAGCAAAUGGAAUACACGGAAACCAUGUGUUUGACGUCGUCCAAUACCAUUCCACUGAUUCCGCUCCAGCCAUUACCACAAGCCCAUCUUUCCCAAUUAAGGUGCCACCAACCUCCUGUGAUUUUGAGGUGUGGCCACAGUUGCCGUGGAGACAAGGUCUGACCGGGUACUGUUACUGGGAGGCAAACUGGAGUUGGAUAUGGGCUCUUGUAGGGGUGACAUAUAAAAGACGUAGCGGGAGAGGAGAGGAUUUUGACACAAUGAUAAGUCAUGGAGUCUGCUGUGCUCCUAACUACAUAUUCUUUAUGGCACAACUAUACGCAGACUACCAUACGCAGAGUACGACUCUGUUGCAGGUGGGGGUAUCUGGACUGGUUGGUCAUUCUUCAGCGUCUCCACUGGCACACUUGUACACAUUCUGGCUCCACAUUCACUGAGCCUCUCUACUAAGGGUUUAGGGUUGAUAAAGUCAUUGACUCUUUUUUCAUGAUUGAAUGAUAUUCGAAGAAUCUCAAACUGUCACGUUCCUGACCUUGUUUUCCUUUUGUAUAGUUGUGUUUAGUGGGUCAGGACGUGAGCUGGGUGGG
Molecule: long non-coding RNA, 2435 nt
Organism: Salvelinus namaycush (lake trout)
Lineage: Eukaryota; Metazoa; Chordata; Actinopteri; Salmoniformes; Salmonidae
Exons: 3
Source: RefSeq, a predicted model, not a curated record